Penaeus chinensis is the source of this 907-nucleotide long non-coding RNA. RefSeq lists it as uncharacterized. The transcript has 4 exons. Lineage: Eukaryota; Metazoa; Arthropoda; Malacostraca; Decapoda; Penaeidae. The record is from RefSeq and is a predicted model, not a curated record.
AACUCAUAUCUUUUUUCUUUUUCAAUUUUCGACGCCGGAGAAACAAACUUUGUGAGUAAACAAAGUAUCUCUCAUAAAGAAAGAAAGAAAUAGAGAGAAAGGUUAAAUUCACGAGGUUGGAAGUUUAUGUUUAUUAUUAACAGGAUGUCCUUCAACGCACAGGACGUAUACUAGCGAUGUUAAAAGUUUUCUUUGCUUCAUACAUACGAAUCAGGUGAAUAAAAAGGAAACAGAGUAUUAUUUUUCUUAAUUUGGGAUAGGGAUUACUUUUCGAGACAUGAUUAUAAGUUUCCAUAGUAGUUUUCAUGCAUUGGGAAUAUAUAGGAUAAGGAAAGGCCUUUAAUUCACUGUCUGGCAACCCACAAGGCGAAAAAAUAUAAAAACACUCGAGGAAUCUCAGCGGCGUCCACACCCGCGCUGGUUUUGAUAGUAUCCGGAAGAAUAUUCAGUGUAUUUUUAGCUACCAGCCACGUCGUGCAAGGAAGUGCAAUGUCAGGACACGCGAGGAACACCCAACUUGCUCUCCUUUUGAUGUUGCUCGCUGCAACUUGCAACAUCAGCGAGUGCAAUCGCAGAUGUGGCAUACCGUGUACACGUGAAUUGAAACCCGUGUGUGGCUCAGACUUCCAGACCUACAACAACAUGUGUCUUUUGAGAAGCGAAAGAAUGUGUUCCAGGCCAGGACUCUAUGCUAUACGUUCCGGACGCUGUUAAGGUAGUUUUAAGAUUCGUUCACCAACAACUGUGGAUUCUCCUGUCACCUGUAAGAUAUCGGCAACACUGCAACGCUAAACUAUCCUUGCAACAUUCGCAACCUGAGAAGACCUUAGUCAUAUAACGUCUAAGGUGACCUUGGUGGUGUUAAGAACGCAUGAGAAAAAAAAUUAAAAUAAAUAUUUCAAAGUCA